GUUUUCCGUGCAGCCGAUUGGGGUUUUGGGCGCUCGGAGCAGCAUCUGAGAGGGCUCACUCUGAUCAUCAGCUGCACGUUAAGCCACAAACCGGCGUCGCUUCGGCGUUCCGGAACCCAGGCCUGGGGGCCGCGGGGAUUGCCUCUGCGUGCAACUCCGGAAAGUUUCAAGGGGUCCCCCGACUGCACAGGUCCGGAAAUCGGCUUUGAUAUGGAACUACUCCGCUCUAGCCUGGAAAGGAGACCCGCGCACUCCUCUCGCAGCUAAUUUCGGAUCAUUAAUUUAAUCGGAAAUGAGGUAACCAGUGUAGGAGACAGAGAAAGCAACCGGAGCAUCAAAUGGCAGUUCUCGAGAAUCGACGAGGAACUUAAAUCUGGACUCAGGGUUUCAGUGCGGUCUCCGACUCCCACCACCCCGCCCCUCCGCCUGUCUCGCCGCCAGGUGUGACCUCCACGCGAAGGAAUCUUCUUCGGAUGGGUGCACCUUGCCAA
This 491-nucleotide long non-coding RNA is filed under the name Homo sapiens (human). RNAcentral's name for it is "non-protein coding lnc-STMND1-4:4". The record is from RNAcentral. Lineage: Eukaryota; Metazoa; Chordata; Mammalia; Primates; Hominidae.